UUGAUUACUUAAACCACUUGGAGGAGGAGCAUUUGGAGGAGGUACAUCUUCACCACCAUUUCCUUCUUGAGGUAUCGCUUCAUUUUCUUCAUUAUUCCCACCAAUAAACAUAACCGACUUCAUUUCUGGAUUAUACCGAUAGCCCAUCCGCUUGUCCACAUUCUUGAUAGAGAUUUUGUGACUUCUUGUAUCCAUAAGACAAAACUCAACAUCACUAAAGUCAACAUUAAAAUAUUCCAU
This 240-nucleotide long non-coding RNA is filed under the name Lathyrus oleraceus (garden pea). RNAcentral's name for it is "Pisum sativum (pea) long non-coding RNA (PSAT_LNC016501)". Lineage: Eukaryota; Viridiplantae; Streptophyta; Magnoliopsida; Fabales; Fabaceae. The record is from RNAcentral.